GACGAACGCUGGCGGCGUGCCUAACACAUGCAAGUCGAACGGAGUUUCCAGCAAUGGAUUCUUAGUGGCGAACGGGUGAGUAACGCGUAGACAACCUACCGCUUAGAUGGGGACAACACUGCGAAAGUGGUGCUAAUACCGAAUGUUGUAGUGAGAAUGCAUAUUCUUGCUACUAAAGAUGGCCUCUAUUUAUAAGCUAUCGCUAAGUGAUGGGUCUGCGUCUAAUUAGCUAGUUGGUGAGGUAAUGGCUCACCAAGGCGACGAUCAGUAGCCGGUCUGAGAGGAUGAACGGCCACACUGGGACUGAGACACGGCCCAGACUCCUACGGGAGGCAGCAGUGGGGAAUCUUCCGCAAUGGACGAAAGUCUGACGGAGCAACGCCGCGUGAGUGAAGAAGGUUUUCGGAUCGUAAAACUCUGUUUUCAGGGACGAAUGUGCGAUGUGUAAAUAAUGCAUUGUAAUGACGGUACCUGAGUAGAAAGCCACGGCUAACUACGUGCCAGCAGCCGCGGUAAUACGUAGGUGGCAAGCGUUGUCCGGAAUUAUUGGGCGUAAAGCGCGCGCAGGUGGGAUAUUAAGUCUGGUGUUAAAGUUCGGGGCUCAACCCCGUGAAGCAUUUGGAAACUGAUAUUCUUGAGUGCAGGAGAGGAAAGUGGAAUUCCUAGUGUAGCGGUGAAAUGCGUAGAUAUUAGGAGGAACACCAGUGGCGAAGGCGACUUUCUGGACUGUGUCUGACACUGAGGCGCGAAAGCUAGGGUAGUGAACAGGAUUAGAUACCCUGGUAAUCCUAGCUGUAAACGAUGGGUACUAGGUGUUGGGGGUAUCGACCCCUCCAGUGCCGGAGUUAACGCAAUAAGUACCCCGCCUGGGGAGUACGGCCGCAAGGUUG
This 890-nucleotide ribosomal RNA is filed under the name uncultured bacterium. Its description in RNAcentral is "bacterial SSU rRNA". It matches the Rfam family "Bacterial small subunit ribosomal RNA", at positions 28 to 896 of the family's 1533-position model. The record is from RNAcentral.